UACGUAGGGUGCGAGCGUUAAUCGGAAUUACUGGGCGUAAAGCGUGCGUAGGCGGUUCGUUAAGUUCGUUGUGAAAGCCCCGGGCUCAACCUGGGAAUGGCAAUGGAAACUGGCGGGCUUGAGUUCGGGAGAGGAGCGUGGAAUUCCCAGUGUAGAGGUGAAAUUCGUAGAUAUUGGGAAGAACACCGGUGGCGAAGGCGGCGCUCUGGACCGAGACUGACGCUGAGGCGCGAAAGCGUGGGGAGCAAACAGG
RNAcentral lists this ribosomal RNA (253 nucleotides) under uncultured bacterium. RNAcentral describes it as "partial 16S ribosomal RNA". It matches the Rfam family "Bacterial small subunit ribosomal RNA", at positions 524 to 776 of the family's 1533-position model. The record is from RNAcentral.